CGAGGAGGUAGGGCUUACGCUCGCGUUUGUCUGUUAUAUCUUGGUGGACGAGUCGUCGCGGUUGGGACUGAGGUGCCUACAACGUGCUUUUGAGUGAGUUUGUGUCUCCGUGUGCGCCGUGUGCGGAUAGCUUGCUAUGUAUGUGCGGUUGUGUGUGGAUUGAUGCGGGCUUUAACUUGUCGCCGUUCGGGACGUUGACGAAAUGGAGCGAUCCGACCCGUCUUGAAACACGGACCAAGGAGUCUAACAUGUGUGCAAGUGUUAGGGUGUGGAAACCCCAGCGCGAAAUGAAAGUGAAGGGCAGCGCAAGUUGUCUGAGGUAGGAAACGUUGCGGGCUUCGGUCUGCGGCGUGGCACUAUCGACCGAUCAUGAACCUUCGUGGUGAAAGAUUUGAGUUUGAGCACAUAUGUUGGUACCCGAAAGAUGGUGAACUAUGCCUGAGUAGGGUGAAGCCAGGGGAAACUCUGGUGGAAGCUCGUAGCGAUUCUGACGUGCAAAUCGAUCGUCAAACUUGGGUAUAGGGGCGAAAGACUAAUCGAACCAUCUAGUAGCUGGUUCCCUCCGAAAUUUCCCUCAGGAUAGCAGCAACUUAUUUACGAUAGUUUUAUGAGGUAAAGCGAAUGAUUAGAGGAUUCGGGGAAGAAACUUCCUCGACCUAUUCUCAAACUUUAAAUCUGUAAGACCUGCAGGUUUCUUAAU
This 700-nucleotide ribosomal RNA is filed under the name Pseudoperonospora cubensis. RNAcentral describes it as "LSU rRNA". It matches the Rfam family "Eukaryotic large subunit ribosomal RNA", at positions 442 to 1095 of the family's 3401-position model. Lineage: Eukaryota; Oomycota; Peronosporomycetes; Peronosporales; Peronosporaceae. The record is from RNAcentral.